Pogona vitticeps (central bearded dragon) is the source of this 308-nucleotide non-coding RNA. The record is from RefSeq and is a predicted model, not a curated record. NCBI's taxonomy places the organism in Eukaryota, Metazoa, Chordata, Lepidosauria, Squamata, Agamidae.
GUCAACAUGAACUUGACAUCACAGAAGACCAACUGGCAACUGCAAUUGUGUAUUUCACCGGUGUGGUAACAAACUGUUAUACUGUAGAAAAUCACCUGGAAUGCUUUAACACAGAGGUUACAAAACUGAUUGAACAGAUUGAAACUGCCCUUGAAGAGUACUAAGGAUUUCAGAUGAGCAAUGUGAGAAUGCUGGAGCUAAAGGCCCAAUAUGCCAAGGCACCCCUGGUGUUGCUUGCUUUCUGAUUAAAUGGAAACCUGGAAUUUGAUUUUUUUUCUGUGACUUUUCACCUUCCAUGACAGUGCAAA